This 200-nucleotide ribosomal RNA is filed under the name uncultured bacterium. RNAcentral's name for it is "partial 16S ribosomal RNA". It matches the Rfam family "Bacterial small subunit ribosomal RNA", at positions 30 to 231 of the family's 1533-position model. The record is from RNAcentral.
AUUGAACGCUGGCGGCAUGCCUUACACAUGCAAGUCGAACGGCAGCGCGGGAGCAAUCCUGGCGGCGAGUGGCGAACGGGUGAGUAAUAUAUCGGAACGUGCCCAGUAGUGGGGGAUAGCCCGGCGAAAGCCGGAUUAAUACCGCAUACGACCUACGGGUGAAAGGGGGGAUCGCAAGACCUCUCGCUAUUGGAGCGGCC